GGUGGGGUUCCCGAGCGGCCAAAGGGAUCAGACUGUAAAUCUGACGCGUAAGCUUCGUUGGUUCGAAUCCAACCCCCACCACCA
This 84-nucleotide transfer RNA is filed under the name invertebrate metagenome. Its description in RNAcentral is "tRNA-Tyr". It matches the Rfam family "tRNA". From Rfam's summary of the family: Transfer RNA (tRNA) molecules are approximately 80 nucleotides in length. The record is from RNAcentral.